UACGUAGGUGGCAAGCGUUGUCCGGAUUUAUUGGGUUUAAAGGGUGCGUAGGCGGUCUUUUAAGUCAGUGCUGAAAUACUCCAGCUUAACUGGAGGGGUGGCAUUGAUACUGGAAGACUUGAGUGCAGUCGAGGUAGGCGGAAUUGACGGUGUAGCGGUGAAAUGCUUAGAUAUCGUCAAGAACACCGAUAGGUAAGACAGCUUACUAGGCUGCAACUGACGCUGAGGCACGAAAGUGUGGGGAUCAAACAGG
This 253-nucleotide ribosomal RNA is filed under the name uncultured bacterium. Its description in RNAcentral is "partial 16S ribosomal RNA". It matches the Rfam family "Bacterial small subunit ribosomal RNA", at positions 524 to 776 of the family's 1533-position model. The record is from RNAcentral.